RNAcentral lists this long non-coding RNA (636 nucleotides) under Nicotiana tabacum (common tobacco). RNAcentral's name for it is "long non-coding RNA (NTAB_LNC017339)". The record is from RNAcentral. Lineage: Eukaryota; Viridiplantae; Streptophyta; Magnoliopsida; Solanales; Solanaceae.
GUUUUGAAUGGCCGGUCGGUUCGAGGAAUGAUCGGUUCACGAGCUAGCAUCACGAACCGAGUCACGUUACUCGAGUCGUCCUGGAUACCUUCCGCUAAGAUCUGGAGACCGUAGAGGUCCGCGGCGCGUGCGGAUGCAAUCGCGGCUGUAUCGCGGAGGUUGUUUGCAGCUAUGUAUUCGGCGGCUCCGGCGGUAUCAUCGACGGCUUCGCGAGCUACGUUUAGGCCGAGCUUUGUGAGAGUGAGUUCGCACUGAGCUAGGGCUUGUGGAUGGCUUAUGACUCGAGUUAGGUACUCUUUUCUAACGCCUGGAAGUGCUAAUAGGCAGUGGUGGACCGGAAGUUGAACUUCUCCGACGAUGUGGAGACGGUGACGGAGGAGGAGAUCGUAGUUCCGGUGAAUGGAACCUCCGAGAGAGUUCUCGACGGGGAGAACUGCACGGUCAGCGAUCCAGAGUUCAACGGCUUGAAAUGCAACCUCAAAUUGAUCACAAGGUAUCGCUUCACAUUUCGGAUAAGCCUUGCCGGCGGCAGCUUCACUGUACGCGCCAGGAACGCCUUGGUAGGCGACGCGGAGCUGAGCGCCGUGCAUCGGCGCAGGGGAGAGGUCAGUGAUUGUGAGCGGCUUAGGCUGAUUG